ACGAAUUAGAGUUGGAAGAUGGUUUGGUGAUCAUGAAAGCAAAGUGCCUGCCAGACGUCCGUUGUCUUAGACUGGGUUCCCCGGACACAGACUCGGAGACAAGGAUCCACAUGAAAGUGACUUUUCAGACUGUGUUACCAGGAAAGCUGGCAGGAAAAUGAACAAAGGGCAAAUGACACGGAUCCAAAACGCUCGGCAGAGGAGCUGUGAUGGCAUGGCACAGGAGACGGUGCAGCUGUCUGAACGUGGGUGACUGGGCCUGGUGGCUGUCGUUUGAGGGGCACCAAGAAAGGGAAAUGGUGGGGAGGGCAGAGGACAUUCCUGGUCCCAGCUCCUUGUCAUGCCUGCCUGCCUCCUGCCCCCUGUCGCAUCAGUACUUCCCACUGUCCCCGUAACUGUGCACGGAGGAGCCCUGCCCCAGCGCCACCCUCUAGCCGGUGCCCUGUGCCCUUCCCCAGCCAGGCUGGUCACCACCGGGGGAGGGUCCAAGGAGCCAAGUCCCCCAGGCCCCAGGCACCCCCUGCUAGGCCACACUGUCUGGUCCCUGGGCCCCUGGAAUCAUCCCACAGUCCCCAGUCUGCUUCCAGCAUUCCGCAGCGUCUUCCCAGUGUCCCUCUUCAGGAGGGACUUCCAGUGUGCAGGGGCGGGGGCUGCUUCCGGAGCCUGGGUGUGGAGCUGCCAUGGCCACAUACCAUCAGCCUCCUCGCCAGGUAGGAGGGACCGGGGCGAGGAGAGAAGGGAGAAGGGGCUGCUCACAGGCUCGGCCAUGCGGGGCUGGUUCUCCUUGCAGAGGAACCCAACCUCUGAAUCCAAACCUGACAGUCCAUGUCCUUACGAAGUCAUGUUUGCCAAGGGAGGAGGAUAAAUGUGCUUUAUGUGACAGCACGUGGCUUGAUUUGUCACUUUGCAUAUCGCGCAUGGGGUGUGUGCGCCUCCGAGUGUGCCAUGCUGGGCCAGCCUGUCCCCCCCCCCAGGCCUCCUAUCUUGGCCACCGACUCUGAGACCAAGACCCAGUCAGGGGCGACUGUAAUAAUUCAUUUUCCCUUGAUUUUAGAUCAUUGCAUCUAAACUUGUCAUUUGCUCUGUAACGCAUUGGACAGUGAUGCUCUCAACUGGUUAUGAGUAAAUAUUGGGAUUUGUGAUAUUUUUCCCUUUGUUUAUUUGUGAAGAGGAAAAAUGAUGGAUGUCGUUUUGGUAUUAACUCAAUGAUUUGGCAUUUGUAUGCUCCUUUUCUGUUUUUCCAAUAUCCUAUCAAGCCACACUGUAAUAUUUUUUUUCCUUCUAAUCCUAAUUCCACAAUGAUGGCAUUUAAAUAGCGACAUCUAUCUUAGUUUACAUCAAUGGGGGCACAAGGACAGGCGGCAGCAGGACAUGAAUGGUCUCUAUUUGGCGCUUAGGGUUGCAGUUUUACAUGCAGUGACUGAGUCUGGUCAGCAGAUGGCAGCAAACAUCUUGUAAGAAAGAAAAAUAAUUAUUUAGGUUGAGUUAAAAAUAAAGAGAAAGAAUGAGAGGGGAAAAACCCACAGGACUCGUGGAGAAGCAAACUGCUACAGGACGCGGCCUUGCUUGCAGGUCUUACGGGGCCUAGACAGGGCCAUUUCUCGUUUCAUGUGCCCCUUUCUACCUAACCCUGCUCAGUGGUGACUCAGGUCCGCACAGGCAAAGUGGGGAAUUCUGAGAAGGGGAGGUUGAGGCAGGGGUGGCUUGGAGCACAGAACGCUGGCCCCAACUCUCAGCCCCAGGAGGGGCCGCCUGGGCUGAGUGGCACUGUGCCCCUCCGAGUGUCCCGUCUGACCUUGCUCUGGCUGCAGCCACCUGGCUGGGCCUCCCCGCUGCUCUGUAUGCACCCCGCGUCCCCAGCUCUGGGCUCCAGCGCCCCGCCCUCCUCCCAGGCUGCGAGGAGGCGACAGCUCAUUUAACCUGUGUCCUCAUCUCCGGGCUCCGCUGGCGGUUGCCAUGGCAACCCCCAAGGCUCCUCAGGCUUUUCUCACUGACUGACCAGGCCUGGAAAACCAUUCUGGAAUUGACAGAGCUAUAUUCGGGGAAAAUUUAAAGAAAGAGCAACCUGACCUAGUUUGGAUGCUGCGGGAACAAAAUGGCAGGGAUGUGCGGUGUUACGAAACGGAAAGGGACAGGAGAUAGGGAGACUUCAGCGACUCCAGGGACUGGAGCAAGGGCCCCGGCCUUCGUUAUUUCCUCGUCUUCCUGCAAGAAGAGCUCGACACCAAAAUGCAGAAAUAAAGAAUAAGUCUUCUUUGCCUUCUUUUUCGCAACUGAAGCUAUGAGCAGGCAUAAGGGAGAGCCGGGAAGUGAGCACUCCUGCCCCCCUGGCCUCGAGACGACCACAGCCCUGGCCGGCAGCCUCGUCGUGACCUCACAGGGGACCUGGCAUCGUUGGACACCGCCGAGCUGUGCCCAGAGUUCUGACCCACAGAAACCGUCAGAAAAAUAUUAAUAAGUGUGUGUGUGUUCAAGCCACGGUGUUUUAGGGAAUUUUGUUACACGGCAGUAGAUAACCAAUACAACCAUUUGUUUAUGUCACUUGC
Molecule: non-coding RNA, 2546 nt
Organism: Microcebus murinus (gray mouse lemur)
Lineage: Eukaryota; Metazoa; Chordata; Mammalia; Primates; Cheirogaleidae
Source: RefSeq, a predicted model, not a curated record